This 64-nucleotide transfer RNA is filed under the name Liposcelis entomophila. RNAcentral's name for it is "tRNA-Leu". Lineage: Eukaryota; Metazoa; Arthropoda; Insecta; Psocodea; Liposcelididae. The record is from RNAcentral.
CUUUUAAUAGCAAAAUUUUGUGCAUUGAAUUUAAGCUUCAAAUAUAAUUAAUAAUUUUAAAAGA